RNAcentral lists this long non-coding RNA (552 nucleotides) under Gallus gallus (chicken). Its description in RNAcentral is "lncRNA (ENSGALG00010027823.1)". Lineage: Eukaryota; Metazoa; Chordata; Aves; Galliformes; Phasianidae. The record is from RNAcentral.
CAAUAACCAAUGCCUGGGGGAUAUCUGUGAGCUCCUGCAACAAACAUUUGGGGUUUUGAUCAGCGCCAUCGAUCUGCGCUGGCGCGCGGUGCUUUAGGUGGAUUUGGAGGCUGAAAGGCGCUCCGCAGUUCACUGUUUGUUCCCAGGCAGAUCCCACUGGUUGGUGCUUCGCUGCCUUUCUUCUCGGAGAGAGCCCUCUCAGCACAGCCAGAUGGACCCAGGGGUGCAGCUGCCCCACCUGCCCCAUGCUGCCCCACACCUCGCUCCCUGGCACUGUGCUCCGCAGGGAUGUGGGCACCGUGCUGAUGCUGCGUGCUGUGUCAUUGGAGUCAACACAGAGGUUCUUCCCAUCCCUGCGGCUGUAAUAUCUGGAGCGCCUCCGCAGAUGAAAGGAAGGCUCCUCCCCUCCUGCACAGCGCCCUGCAGCUCUGCUGCUGAACGCAGUCUGCGCUUUGCCCAAAGGGACCGAGAAACCGCUCAGUGCAAAGCGGCGCUCCCCGGGGCCGAUGGGUGCUUUUAUUGCACCGCACGGUAAUAAAACACAAAAUAAAG